CAGCAGCCGCGGUAAUACGAAGGGUGCAAGCGUUAAUCGGAAUUACUGGGCGUAAAGCGUGCGUAGGCGGUGAGUUAAGUCUGCUGUGAAAUCCCCGGGCUCAACCUGGGAAUGGCAGUGGAUACUGGCUCGCUAGAGUGUGUCAGAGGAUGGUGGAAUUCCCGGUGUAGCGGUGAAAUGCGUAGAGAUCGGGAGGAGCAUCAGUGGCGAAGGCGGCCAUCUGGGACAACACUGACGCUGAGGCACGAAAGCGUGGGGAGCAAACAGGAUUAGAUACCCGCGUAGUCCCUGUCUCUUAUAC
RNAcentral lists this ribosomal RNA (301 nucleotides) under uncultured bacterium. Its description in RNAcentral is "partial 16S ribosomal RNA". It matches the Rfam family "Bacterial small subunit ribosomal RNA", at positions 509 to 807 of the family's 1533-position model. The record is from RNAcentral.